This 351-nucleotide ribosomal RNA is filed under the name uncultured bacterium. RNAcentral's name for it is "bacterial SSU rRNA". It matches the Rfam family "Bacterial small subunit ribosomal RNA", at positions 917 to 1271 of the family's 1533-position model. The record is from RNAcentral.
GGGCCCGCACAAGCGGCGGAGCAUGCGGAUUAAUUCGAUGCAACGCGAAGAACCUUACCAAGGCUUGACAUAUAGAGGAAAAGUGCAGAAAUGCACUCCCCGCAAGGUCUCUAUACAGGUGGUGCAUGGUUGUCGUCAGCUCGUGUCGUGAGAUGUUGGGUUAAGUCCCGCAACGAGCGCAACCCUCGUCCUAUGUUGCCAGCACGUAAUGGUGGGAACUCAUGGGAUACUGCCGGGGUCAACUCGGAGGAAGGUGGGGAUGACGUCAAAUCAUCAUGCCCCUUAUGUCUUGGGCUUCACGCAUGCUACAAUGGCCGGUACAGAGGGAAGCCACCCCGCGAGGGGAGCGGA